Molecule: microRNA precursor, 80 nt
Organism: Colobus angolensis palliatus
Lineage: Eukaryota; Metazoa; Chordata; Mammalia; Primates; Cercopithecidae
Source: Ensembl
UAUUAGCUUGGGGCAAAAGUAAUUGCAGUUUUUGACAUUGAAAUUAAUGGCAAAAACUGUAAUUACUUUUGCACCAACCU